Long non-coding RNA from Lineus longissimus, 1061 nucleotides. RefSeq lists it as uncharacterized. The transcript has 4 exons. NCBI's taxonomy places the organism in Eukaryota, Metazoa, Nemertea, Pilidiophora, Heteronemertea, Lineidae. The record is from RefSeq and is a predicted model, not a curated record.
UGUCAAUUAAAAAGCUUAUUCCGAAAACAGUUUGAACGGUUUGAGAGGGGUCUUUUUGAGGCAGCGUAGCAUUCCGUUUUCAUCAGAACCAUGAAGUCUACACUCUUAGUGCUGGUGGUAGUGUUGGCCGUGUUUGCCACUUUGGAAGUAUCAGCUAUCGAGGAGCUGAACAGAGAAAAGCGAGUGAGUUGCGCCGUUGAGUAUCAUGGCUGCAAAGAACAGGAUUGCUGCCCCGGGCUCUCAUGUGCAACUGACGUAGGGAAAUGCCGGAAUGCUGAGGACAAUAAAUGCUGUCUGAUGUGAUCCCAAGGGAUGCACUGCGCAGGGUGAAUCCAGAUGCACCGAAAAACUUUGGUGAUUAAUGCGGUAAUGGGGUUAGGGGAGAGACAUACACUUUUAACACGACUCAAUGACUACAUUUUAAUGAAAAGUUUAAAGACUAAGGUUGGAGGUAGAAAACAUUGCUAAAAUCACUGACCAAAAUAUAGCUUGAAUGUACACUUCUAUGGACGUAUAGGCUUUAAUGUAUACUAACCUUCUCCAUACACGUUCCCGUCUUUUUAUACUCAUUUGGAAGAAAUUAGGUGCACCCUCCAGGGAAAAGUGAAUAGCUUGACCCGAACACAUCUCACAUGUUAAUUGGUGAACUCAUGUUUCCUCCAUUGGUAAACAUGGGUUCACGCAUUGCGUAAACGGGAUUUUUCUUGCUGUGAUUAUCAAUAAAGGUGUAAACGGGAUUUUUCUUGCUGUGAUUAUCAAUAAAGUCGUAAACCGGAUUUUUCUUGCUUAAAUUAUCAAUAAAGUCGUAAACGGGAUUUUUUUCUUGCUGUGAUUAUCAAUAAAGUCGUAAACAGGAUUUUUUUCUUGCUGUGAUUAUCAAUAAAGUCGUAAACGGGAUUUUUCUUGCUGUGAUUAUCAAUAAAGUCGUAAACGGGAUUUUUUUCUUGCUGUGAUUAUCCAUAAAGGUGUAAACGGGAUUAUUCUUGCUGUGAUUAUCAACAAAGUCGUAAACGGGUUUUUUCUUGCUGUGAAUCUCAAUAAAAAAUUCUUCAAAUGAAUAA